Molecule: long non-coding RNA, 382 nt
Organism: Hemicordylus capensis (graceful crag lizard)
Lineage: Eukaryota; Metazoa; Chordata; Lepidosauria; Squamata; Cordylidae
Exons: 3
Source: RefSeq, a predicted model, not a curated record
CUCCCCCUUGACAAAAAAACACAAAGGGUCGGAGAAAAGGCACCUUGAGAUACACCACUUGCCUGUUAUGAAUGGACAAGAUGGAUACACGAGCAAAUAAGAGAACAAACAAGAGUAAUUUCCAGGAAAUCAGACCAGCUUACAUUCAUGAAUGGAUAACUUGCCCACCAUGACACAGGGAACUGUCAUUAUCUCUCGUUUGCUCUCUGAAUUAACAAAACGGAAGCAAAGAGAGGUGGCACAGAUUCUUUGUUGUUUUUGCUGCAUCACAGAAUUGAAAUGGCAUCACCUCCAGAGGUUGUUACUCCAGAUUAAUGACUCUGAUGAAAAUAUGACAAGAAUUUACAAAGGAUUGCAAGCACAUCUCCAAACUAAUGUGCAU